RNAcentral lists this ribosomal RNA (811 nucleotides) under Cellulophaga lytica. Its description in RNAcentral is "bacterial SSU rRNA". It matches the Rfam family "Bacterial small subunit ribosomal RNA", at positions 71 to 884 of the family's 1533-position model. Lineage: Bacteria; Pseudomonadati; Bacteroidota; Flavobacteriia; Flavobacteriales; Flavobacteriaceae. The record is from RNAcentral.
CAGAGGAGCUUGCUCUUGCUGACGACCGGCGCACGGGUGCGUAACGCGUAUACAAUCUGCCUUACACUAAGGGAUAGCCCAGAGAAAUUUGGAUUAACACCUUAUAGUUUAUUUUUAUGGCAUCAUUUAAAUAAUAAAGUUUACGGUGUAAGAUGAGUAUGCGUCCCAUUAGUUUGUUGGUAAGGUAACGGCUUACCAAGACUACGAUGGGUAGGGGCCCUGAGAGGGGGAUCCCCCACACUGGUACUGAGACACGGACCAGACUCCUACGGGAGGCAGCAGUGAGGAAUAUUGGACAAUGGAGGAGACUCUGAUCCAGCCAUGCCGCGUGCAGGAAGACGGUCCUAUGGAUUGUAAACUGCUUUUAUACAGGAAGAAUAAGGACUACGUGUAGUCUGGUGACGGUACUGUAAGAAUAAGGACCGGCUAACUCCGUGCCAGCAGCCGCGGUAAUACGGAGGGUCCGAGCGUUAUCCGGAAUUAUUGGGUUUAAAGGGUCCGUAGGCGGGCUGUUAAGUCAGGGGUGAAAGUUUGCAGCUCAACUGUAGAAUUGCCUUUGAUACUGAUGGUCUUGAAUUAUUGUGAAGUGGUUAGAAUAUGUAGUGUAGCGGUGAAAUGCAUAGAUAUUACAUAGAAUACCGAUUGCGAAGGCAGAUCACUAACAAUUGAUUGACGCUGAUGGACGAAAGCGUGGGUAGCGAACAGGAUUAGAUACCCUGGUAGUCCACGCCGUAAACGAUGGAUACUAGCUGUUUGGAUUUCGAUCUGAGCGGCCAAGCGAAAGUGAUAAGUAUCCCACCUGGGGAGUACG